AACAACCCAGACCGCCAGCUAAGGUCCCAAAGUCAUGGUUAAGUGGGAAACGAUGUGGGAAGGCCCAGACAGCCAGGAUGUUGGCUUAGAAGCAGCCAUCAUUUAAAGAAAGCGUAAUAGCUCACUGGUCGAGUCGGCCUGCGCGGAAGAUGUAACGGGGCUAAACCAUGCACCGAAGCUGCGGCAGCGACGCUGAUGCGUUGUUGGGUAGGGGAGCGUUCUGUAAGCCUGUGAAGGUGUGCUGUGAGGCAUGCUGGAGGUAUCAGAAGUGCGAAUGCUGACAUAAGUAACGAUAAAGCGGGUGAAAAGCCCGCUCGCCGGAAGACCAAGGGUUCCUGUCCAACGUUAAUCGGGGCAGGGUGAGUCGACCCCUAAGGCGAGGCCGAAAGGCGUAGUCGAUGGGAAACAGGUUAAUAUUCCUGUACUUGGUGUUACUGCGAAGGGGGGACGGAGAAGGCUAUGUUGGCCGGGCGACGGUUGUCCCGGUUUAAGCGUGUAGGCUGGUUUUCCAGGCAAAUCCGGAAAACUAAGGCUGAGGCGUGAUGACGAGGCACUACGGUGCUGAAGCAACAAAUGCCCUGCUUCCAGGAAAAGCCUCUAAGCAUCAGGUAACAUCAAAUCGUACCCCAAACCGACACAGGUGGUCAGGUAGAGAAUACCAAGGCGCUUGAGAGAACUCGGGUGAAGGAACUAGGCAAAAUGGUGCCGUAACUUCGGGAGAAGGCACGCUGAUAUGUAGGUGAAGUCCCUCGCGGAUGGAGCUGAAAUCAGUCGAAGAUACCAGCUGGCUGCAACUGUUUAUUAAAAACACAGCACUGUGCAAACACGAAAGUGGACGUAUACGGUGUGACGCCUGCCCGGUGCCGGAAGGUUAAUUGAUGGGGUCAGCGCAAGCGAAGCUCUUGAUCGAAGCCCCGGUAAACGGCGGCCGUAACUAUAACGGUCCUAAGGUAGCGAAAUUCCUUGUCGGGUAAGUUCCGACCUGCACGAAUGGCGUAAUGAUGGCCAGGCUGUCUCCACCCGAGACUCAGUGAAAUUGAACUCGCUGUGAAGAUGCAGUGUACCCGCGGCAAGACGGAAAGACCCCGUGAACCUUUACUAUAGCUUGACACUGAACAUUGAGCCUUGAUGUGUAGGAUAGGUGGGAGGCUUUGAAGUGUGGACGCCAGUCUGCAUGGAGCCGACCUUGAAAUACCACCCUUUAAUGUUUGAUGUUCUAACGUUGACCCGUAAUCCGGGUUGCGGACAGUGUCUGGUGGGUAGUUUGACUGGGGCGGUCUCCUCCUAAAGAGUAACGGAGGAGCACGAAGGUUGGCUAAUCCUGGUCGGACAUCAGGAGGUUAGUGCAAUGGCAUAAGCCAGCUUGACUGCGAGCGUGACGGCGCGAGCAGGUGCGAAAGCAGGUCAUAGUGAUCCGGUGGUUCUGAAUGGAAGGGCCAUCGCUCAACGGAUAAAAGGUACUCCGGGGAUAACAGGCUGAUACCGCCCAAGAGUUCAUAUCGACGGCGGUGUUUGGCACCUCGAUGUCGGCUCAUCACAUCCUGGGGCUGAAGUAGGUCCCAAGGGUAUGGCUGUUCGCCAUUUAAAGUGGUACGCGAGCUGGGUUUAGAACGUCGUGAGACAGUUCGGUCCCUAUCUGCCGUGGGCGCUGGAGAACUGAGGGGGGCUGCUCCUAGUACGAGAGGACCGGAGUGGACGCAUCACUGGUGUUCGGGUUGUCAUGCCAAUGGCACUGCCCGGUAGCUAAAUGCGGAAGAGAUAAGUGCUGAAAGCAUCUAAGCACGAAACUUGCCCCGAGAUGAGUUCUCCCUGACUCCUUGAGAGUCCUGAAGGAACGUUGAAG
RNAcentral lists this ribosomal RNA (1843 nucleotides) under Escherichia coli. RNAcentral describes it as "partial 23S ribosomal RNA". It matches the Rfam family "Bacterial large subunit ribosomal RNA", at positions 1021 to 2843 of the family's 2925-position model. The record is from RNAcentral. Lineage: Bacteria; Pseudomonadati; Pseudomonadota; Gammaproteobacteria; Enterobacterales; Enterobacteriaceae.